Molecule: ribosomal RNA, 194 nt
Filed under: uncultured bacterium
Lineage: Bacteria
Description: partial 16S ribosomal RNA
Rfam family: Bacterial small subunit ribosomal RNA
Source: RNAcentral
CCUACGGGAGGCAGCAGUGGGGAAUUUUGGACAAUGGGCGCAAGCCUGAUCCAGCCAUGCCGCGUGAGUGAAGAAGGCCUUCGGGUUGUAAAGCUCUUUCAGCCGGAACGAAAUCGUCCGGGCUAAUACCCCGGAUGGAUGACGGUACCGGAAGAAGAAGCACCGGCUAACUACGUGCCAGCAGCCGCGGUAAU